GGACGUGGGGAUGAUCUGGCUGUGACAUGUCACCCCAUUGAUCACCAGGGUGGAUUCGGCUGAUCUGGCUGGUUAGACAGAUGUCCCCUUCCUCCCUCACCAUUCCAUAUGCGUCCCUCCUGAAGCUGUGGUGAAGGUUGAGGAGGAUGACCAUUCCUUAAAAAGGAGGACAAUUCUUCCGUGAAGGGUAUAGGAGUAGCUGCAUUCCCCUGCUAGAACCUCCAAACAAGCUCUCAUUCUAAAACUCAGGCAAGCCAGAAAAGGAAAGUCUAGGACUAGUAAAUCAAGCCAGGAAAUGUACUGUUCUG
Molecule: small nuclear RNA, 308 nt
Filed under: Carlito syrichta (Philippine tarsier)
Lineage: Eukaryota; Metazoa; Chordata; Mammalia; Primates; Tarsiidae
Description: 7SK RNA (ENSTSYG00000021070.2)
Rfam family: 7SK RNA
About the family: 7SK was discovered as an abundant small nuclear RNA in the mid-70s but a possible function has only recently been suggested. Two independent studies have found that 7SK RNA binds the CDK9/cyclin T complex (known as elongation factor P-TEFb).
Source: Rfam by way of RNAcentral